This is a long non-coding RNA of Carassius gibelio (silver crucian carp), 1608 nucleotides long. RefSeq lists it as uncharacterized. The transcript is spliced from 2 exons. Lineage: Eukaryota; Metazoa; Chordata; Actinopteri; Cypriniformes; Cyprinidae. The record is from RefSeq and is a predicted model, not a curated record.
CAUUAAUCUCCCUCUUGUUAGUGUAACUUUGUUAUUGCAUGACAUAGUCCAGUGAAGGAGGGUUUUACAAGAGUGGCGCGAGGCAUGAUUUCUGCCCCUGCUGUGCUUGCGAGUCACGCUUGCCUGUGGAAAAGCGGCUAAUGAAGAUGGCAGAAGACGACUGGUAAGCAGUUAGGCUAUGUUUAGCCUAUAUCUUCAGUUCUGUGGACUAAAAUGACUGAGGCUAAGGGGUUGGUCCUCCAAUUGCUCUUUAUACUUGAGAAAGCACAGCCUAAGCUAUGUUCAUCAUGUGCACUUUGUGCAUGGCAGUUUUGUGUUGUGAAUCUCUUGACUUCAAAGAGAAUAAAGUAAAACAAAUGUGCAUCUUGUCAUGGCAUUAGAGUUUACUUAUGUUGUGUCUAAUAUUAAUAGACCCAAGCUAUUCACGGAUAUUGCCAGAUGAUAAUUUUACCUCUACCAUUCUUUUAACAGACUUUAAUCAUUUAUUAAUCAUUUUGUCAUUUUGUCUUGAGACUUCACUUUGCCAAUUAUAUGCUAUAUUGUUAGUAGCCUGGAUAGCCCACAGUCAUUAUGGAAAAUUAAAUUGCCUUCUACUGUCACGGCCGGUGAUACAAGGAAACACGGAGAGAUCCAAGUGCGGGUAUGAUAUUUAUUAAUGGGUAAUCCAAAGGGGUAAACAGUCCAGGCAGGGUCAAAACCAGAGUAUCCAAUAACAAGAACAGAAAAAACACAAGGCAGGAUCAAGACCAUGGAUAACAUCAGACAAGGACUCCGUGACACAUACUCAGACAGACUGGGUAUAAAUACACAGAAGGUAAUGAGGGAACUGGAGACAGGUGGGGAAUAAUCAAUUAACCCAAACAAGGAGGAAGGUGACCAAAUAAGGGAACAGACAGUUAAUAAAGUGACAGACACCGUGGGAAAGGAGGACAUCUAGUGGAAACCCAGGGAACACAACCCAGACACUGUGACAUCUACUGGAUGUAAAAUGCUCUGUAUUACAUUUAGUCAUUUUAGAAUUUUAAGUUCUACGUUUUAGUUAUUUUCGUGAAAGUAACUCAAAAGUAAUACAGGAGUAAUGUAAUGUAUUACAAUUCUGAGACAGUAAUAUUGUAAGGUAAAGUAUUAAAUUUAAAUAACAGUAACAAGUAAUCUAUAAUGUAUUACAGUUUGGAAGUAACUUGCACAACACUGCUUCCCACCACUGUUGAUGACCAACCCGAGGCGCUCUAAAUGAAUGAGCUGUAGCUCUUUGUGAGUGUUCAGUUCCCGUUCUGAUCUGGUUAGAACAAGCCAAUCGUCGAGGUAAUUCAAUAUACAGAUUACCAUCUGCCUGAGCGGAGACAGAGCCACAUCUAUACACUUCGUAAAAGUGUAUGGGGCCAGGGACAGUCUAAACGGAAGGACUGCAUACUUAUAGGCCACUCCCUCGAACACAAAUCUCAAGAACGGUCUAUGACGGGGGGCUAUGUGGAUGUGAAAGUAAGCAUCUUUCAAAUCUAUGUCCAAAACCAAUCCUCAGGGCAAAUAUGAGAUUAUUAAUAUGUGAUUGAGAGAGGAUGAGGAAUCUUUAAAAUAUGUGAGUCCGCUAGCACAGCGAUAAAAUAU